Pelobates cultripes (western spadefoot toad) is the source of this 677-nucleotide non-coding RNA. The record is from the annotation of a GenBank genome assembly. NCBI's taxonomy places the organism in Eukaryota, Metazoa, Chordata, Amphibia, Anura, Pelobatidae.
CGGGACAUACUUGUGUAUUAGGGAGGAUAGAUAGGUGGGAGCAGCAUUAUGUAGAGAUUUGAAAACAAGAACCAGAUUUUUAAAUUGAGCCUUAUAUCUUACAGGAAGCCAAUGUAGGGACUGACAGAAGGGUGAGGUGUUGGCGGUGCGGGUGGACAGGAAGAUGAGCCUCGCCACCGCAUUCAUCAUGGACUGUAACGGCGCAAGUUGGGAGCACAUAAGACCACUGAGAAGCAGAUUACAGUAGUCAAGGUGAGAAAGGACAGUGGAAUGGAUCAGCACCUUAGUCGCAUCUGGCGUUAAGUAGGGUCGGAUGCUCGAAAUGUUUUUGAGAUGGAAGCGGCAGGAUUUGGCGAUAGACUGAACAUGAGGUGUGAAAGAGAGGUGGGAGUCAAAGAGAGCACGUAGCCUACAUGGUGGAGCUGAUGGUAGCACCGUUGACUUGGAGGGAGAUAGACACAGGAGUAGCAACACUUGAAGGAGGAAAGACCAGAAUUUCAGUUUUGGUCAAGUUGAGUUUAAGGAAGUGGGCAGCAAUCCAGUUAGAAAUAGCAGAGAGGCAGUCAGAGACACUAGUCAAGCGGGACCAGGAGAGGACAGAUAGAUUUGCGUGUCAUCCGCAAAUAAGCUAAUGAGUUUACCAAGGGAGGCAGUAUAGAUGGAAAACAGUAGGGCAC